Molecule: transfer RNA, 74 nt
Rfam family: tRNA
About the family: Transfer RNA (tRNA) molecules are approximately 80 nucleotides in length. Their secondary structure includes four short double-helical elements and three loops (D, anti-codon, and T loops). Further hydrogen bonds mediate the characteristic L-shaped molecular structure. tRNAs have two regions of fundamental functional importance: the anti-codon, which is responsible for specific mRNA codon recognition, and the 3' end, to which the tRNAs corresponding amino acid is attached (by aminoacyl-tRNA synthetases). tRNAs cope with the degeneracy of the genetic code in two manners: having more than one tRNA (with a specific anti-codon) for a particular amino acid; and 'wobble' base-pairing, i.e. permitting non-standard base-pairing at the 3rd anti-codon position.
Source: Rfam
GGUGCUGUAGCUCAGUUGGCAGAGCAGGCUCACUUAUAAGGGUCGUGUCGCAGGUUCGAGUCCUGUCAGCACUA